Molecule: ribosomal RNA, 253 nt
Filed under: uncultured bacterium
Lineage: Bacteria
Description: partial 16S ribosomal RNA
Rfam family: Bacterial small subunit ribosomal RNA
Source: RNAcentral
UACGUAGGGGGCAAGCGUUGUCCGGAAUUAUUGGGCGUAAAGAGCUCGUAGGCGGUUUGUCGCGUCGGCCGUGAAAUCUCCACGCUUAACGUGGAGCGUGCGGUCGAUACGGGCAGACUUGAGUUCGGUAGGGGAGACUGGAAUUCCUGGUGUAGCGGUGAAAUGCGCAGAUAUCAGGAGGAACACCGGUGGCGAAGGCGGCGAGCUGGCCUGUGACUGACGCUGAGGCGCGACAGCGUGGGGAGCAAACAGG